GCUUCCGUGGCUCAGUUGGUAGUAGCGCUGGUCUCAUAACAAGUUUAUGACCGAGCUCAAAGCUUGGGUAAUCCAGAGGUCGAGAGUUCGACCCUCUCCGGGAGCA
RNAcentral lists this transfer RNA (106 nucleotides) under Ophiocordyceps sinensis. It matches the Rfam family "tRNA". From Rfam's summary of the family: Transfer RNA (tRNA) molecules are approximately 80 nucleotides in length. Their secondary structure includes four short double-helical elements and three loops (D, anti-codon, and T loops). Further hydrogen bonds mediate the characteristic L-shaped molecular structure. tRNAs have two regions of fundamental functional importance: the anti-codon, which is responsible for specific mRNA codon recognition, and the 3' end, to which the tRNAs corresponding amino acid is attached (by aminoacyl-tRNA synthetases). tRNAs cope with the degeneracy of the genetic code in two manners: having more than one tRNA (with a specific anti-codon) for a particular amino acid; and 'wobble' base-pairing, i.e. permitting non-standard base-pairing at the 3rd anti-codon position. RNAcentral also lists the same sequence under 1 other name. Lineage: Eukaryota; Fungi; Ascomycota; Sordariomycetes; Hypocreales; Ophiocordycipitaceae. The record is from Rfam by way of RNAcentral.